AUUAUUUAUUAUUUAUAUGUUGAGAUGAGAUGAAUCGUUUACUCACGUGAUUCAGAUUGGCGAUUCAAAUUGUGGUUGCUAUAGCAACGCGUGUUAUGAUUUGACUCCAUAUAUAAACACCGAGACUCGCCGCUAUCUGUUGAUUGAGGAGAGGCGAAUUUCUGAAACAUUUGCUGAGGAUUACUGUGCUGAUACUGCGAUUCUUCAAGGAGACCAGAGAAUUUCUGACAGAAGACUUUUAUUUUACAAGGAGAUCGACGCUCAGAGCUGAAAUUAUUCCUUUUGACACGUUUUGUUGCUCUUUUGUUGUGUUUAUUUUGAUUUUGAUCUUGUUUUUAUUGACAUUUUUAUUGAUAUUUGAUCUUUGUUCUUGUUUUCAGGUUUGCUGGAGUUUGGAGGAGUUUGUCAGAUGGGUGAAAACCGCAGCCGCUCCAGAUCCAGGAGUUCUGCUUUCAUCCAGGCAGCUGUUCAGGACGUCAGGACACAUGAUGGUGAUGGUGAAACCCAGACCGUGAGCCAAAAACUUGAUGGAUUUCUCGCACCUCUGCCUUCCCUGUUGGCCAAAUCUGUGUCCACAGAUCAGGGUAACAGGAAGAGGAAGCGGCAGAGCGGCAGCCAGCAAACACCAGAAGAUGAACGUCCGUCCACCUCAUCUAGAAGAGCUCUCAAACGCUCUCGCAGAGACGCGUAUGCAAAGGGCCCACUGCUGGGAGACGGUGGAUUUGGCUCUGUGUUUGCUGGGAUGCGCAGGUCUGAUGGACUGCCAGUCGCCAUCAAGUAUGUGUCUAAAGAGCGGACACAGAGGAGACUGAGAGUUGAAGGUCAGGGUCGGCUGCCGCUGGAGGUGGCACUGAUGACCCGCGUCAAUUCAGCUCCUGCCUGCCCCAACGUCCUGCAGCUGCUAGACUGGUUUGACCGUCCCAGACGCUACAUCCUGAUCCUGGAGCGUCCGGAUCCCUGCCAAGACCUCCAGAGCUUCUGUGAGGAGAACGGCUGUCUGGAUGAGGGUCUGGCCAAGAAAGUGCUGGUGCAGCUGAUCGCGGCUCUGAAACACUGCGAGAGCCGCGGAGUCCUGCACCGGGACGUCAAGCCAGAGAACCUGCUGAUCUCCACAGAGUCCCAGGACAUCAAGCUGCUGGACUUCGGCUGUGGAGAUCUGCUCAAGCGCUCGGCCUACAAAUACUUCGCAGGAACGAUUCAAUACGCUCCACCUGAGUGGUUCUGCAGACAGCGCUACCAUGCGGGUCCAGCUACGGUGUGGUCAGUAGGAGUGACCCUCUUCAACAUCCUGUGCAACCGUUUCCCCUUCGGAGGCUCACUGAGGGUCACGUCCAGGAGCAAACUGACCUUCCCCAUAACUCUGUCAACAGAGGCAGUAGACGCAGAUGGAGAAGAGGAGAACACACACCGAACACACACUGAACAGCAGAUUCCAGCAGAAAACACACUCUGAUGCAGGUUUGCUGGAGUUUGGAGGAGUUUGUCAGAUGGGUGAAAACCGCAGCCGCUCCAGAUCCAGGAGUUCUGCUUUCAUCCAGGCAGCUGUUCAGGACGUCAGGACACAUGAUGGUGAUGGUGAAACCCAGACCGUGAGCCAAGAGCUUGAUGGAUUUCUCGCACCUCUGCCUUCCCUGUUGGCCAAAUCUGUGUCCACAGAUCAGGGUAACAGGAAGAGGAAGCGGCAGAGCGGCAGCCAGCAAACACCAGAAGAUGAACGUCCGUCCACCUCAUCUAGAAGAGCUCUCAAACGCUCUCGCAGAGACGCGUAUGCAAAGGGCCCACUGCUGGGAGACGGUGGAUUUGGCUCUGUGUUUGCUGGGAUGCGCAGGUCUGAUGGACUGCCAGUCGCCAUCAAGUAUGUGUCUAAAGAGCGGACACAGAGGAGACUGAGAGUUGAAGGUCAGGGUCGGCUGCCGCUGGAGGUGGCACUGAUGACCCGCGUCAAUUCAGCUCCUGCCUGCCCCAACGUCCUGCAGCUGCUAGACUGGUUUGACCGUCCCAGACGCUACAUCCUGAUCCUGGAGCGUCCGGAUCC
Non-coding RNA from Danio rerio (zebrafish), 2035 nucleotides. The record is from RefSeq and is a predicted model, not a curated record. NCBI's taxonomy places the organism in Eukaryota, Metazoa, Chordata, Actinopteri, Cypriniformes, Danionidae.